GGCCAAGUAGCUCAGUCGGUAGAGCAGCGCCCUGAAAAGGCGUGUGUCGACAGUUCAAUUCUGUCCUUGGCCA
This 73-nucleotide transfer RNA is filed under the name Deltaproteobacteria bacterium. RNAcentral's name for it is "tRNA-Phe". It matches the Rfam family "tRNA". From Rfam's summary of the family: Transfer RNA (tRNA) molecules are approximately 80 nucleotides in length. Their secondary structure includes four short double-helical elements and three loops (D, anti-codon, and T loops). Lineage: Bacteria; Pseudomonadati; Myxococcota; Myxococcia. The record is from RNAcentral.